UACGUAGGGUGCGAGCGUUAAUCGGAAUUACUGGGCGUAAAGCGUGCGCAGGCGGUUAUUUAAGUCAGGUGUGAAAGCCCUGGGCUUAACCUAGGAAUUGCGCUUGAGACUGGAUAGCUUGGAGUGCGGCAGAGGGAGGUGGAAUUCCACGUGUAGCAGUGAAAUGCGUAGAGAUGUGGAGGAACACCGAUGGCGAAGGCAGCCUCCUGGGCCAGCACUGACGCUCAUGCACGAAAGCGUGGGGAGCAAACAGAU
This 255-nucleotide ribosomal RNA is filed under the name uncultured bacterium. RNAcentral describes it as "partial 16S ribosomal RNA". It matches the Rfam family "Bacterial small subunit ribosomal RNA", at positions 524 to 777 of the family's 1533-position model. The record is from RNAcentral.